Molecule: ribosomal RNA, 253 nt
Filed under: uncultured bacterium
Lineage: Bacteria
Description: partial 16S ribosomal RNA
Rfam family: Bacterial small subunit ribosomal RNA
Source: RNAcentral
UACGGGGGGUGCAAGCGUUGUCCGGAAUUAUUGGGCGUAAAGGGCUCGUAGGCGGUUUGUCGCGUCGGGAGUGAAAACCAGGUGCUUAACACUUGGCUUGCUUUCGAUACGGGCAGACUGGAGGUAUGCAGGGGAGAACGGAAUUCCUGGUGUAGCGGUGAAAUGCGCAGAUAUCAGGAGGAACACCGGUGGCGAAGGCGGUUCUCUGGGCAUUACCUGACGCUGGGGAGCGAAAGUGUGGGGAGCGAACAGG